AGAGUUUGAUCCUGGCUCAGGAUGAACGCUAGCGACAGGCCUAACACAUGCAAGUCGAGGGGCAGCAUUUCUAGCUUGCUAGAAGAUGGCGACCGGCGCACGGGUGAGUAACGCGUAUGCAACCUACCUUAUACUGGGGGAUAGCCCAGAGAAAUCUGGAUUAAUACCGCAUAACAAUGUUUUAUCGCAUGGUAAGAUAUUUAAAACUCCGGUGGUAUAAGAUGGGCAUGCGUAGCAUUAGUUAGUUGGUGAGGUAACGGCUCACCAAGACAAUGAUGCUUAGGGGGUCUGAGAGGAUAGUCCCCCACACUGGUACUGAGACACGGACCAGACUCCUACGGGAGGCAGCAGUGAGGAAUAUUGGUCAAUGGGCGCAAGCCUGAACCAGCCAUGUCGCGUGCAGGAUGACGGCCCUAUGGGUUGUAAACUGCUUUUUUACAGGAAUAAUUGUCUCUACGUGUAGAGAUUUGAAUGUACUGUAUGAAUAAGAUCGCUAA
This 497-nucleotide ribosomal RNA is filed under the name uncultured bacterium. RNAcentral describes it as "bacterial SSU rRNA". It matches the Rfam family "Bacterial small subunit ribosomal RNA", at positions 8 to 500 of the family's 1533-position model. The record is from RNAcentral.